This 253-nucleotide ribosomal RNA is filed under the name uncultured bacterium. RNAcentral's name for it is "partial 16S ribosomal RNA". It matches the Rfam family "Bacterial small subunit ribosomal RNA", at positions 524 to 776 of the family's 1533-position model. The record is from RNAcentral.
UACAGAGGGUGCUAGCGUUGUUCGGAAUCAUUGGGCGUAAAGGGCGUGUAGGCGGUUUGUUAAGUCAUGUGUGAAAUCCCUCGGCUCAACCGGGGAACGACGCAUGAAACUGGCAAGCUAGAGUACCAAAGAGGGGGGUGGAAUUCCCGGUGUAGCGGUGAAAUGCGUAGAUAUCGGGAAGAACACCCGUGGCGAAGGCGGUUCUCUGGGACGGUACUGACGCUGAGACGCGAAAGCGUGGGGAGCGAACAGG